This 253-nucleotide ribosomal RNA is filed under the name uncultured bacterium. RNAcentral's name for it is "partial 16S ribosomal RNA". It matches the Rfam family "Bacterial small subunit ribosomal RNA", at positions 524 to 776 of the family's 1533-position model. The record is from RNAcentral.
UGCGUAGGGUGCGAGCGUUAAUCGGAAUUACUGGGCGUAAAGCGUGCGCAGGCGGUUUUGUAAGCCAGAUGUGAAAUCCCCGGGCUUAACCUGGGAACUGCAUUUGUGACUGCAUCGCUGGAGUGCGGCAGAGGGGGAUGGAAUUCCGCGUGUAGCAGUGAAAUGCGUAGAUAUGCGGAGGAACACCGAUGGCGAAGGCAAUCCCCUGGGCCUGCACUGACGCUCAUGCACGAAAGCGUGGGGAGCAAACAGG